Molecule: non-coding RNA, 1818 nt
Organism: Vicugna pacos (alpaca)
Lineage: Eukaryota; Metazoa; Chordata; Mammalia; Artiodactyla; Camelidae
Source: RefSeq, a predicted model, not a curated record
UGCAGUCAGGGUGUUGGGGUCUAAGCAAAGGGUCUAAAGGCUCCCAGGGCAUCUGCUGGAGCACAGCCCCCACGGGACCCCCAACCCCAGAGAGACUGACACUGAGCUCCCCGGACAGGGCCAGUCAAGGCUCGGGGGGGAAGCAAGGGGGCUGAGGUGGGCUGGGCAGGGUCCCACCUGGGGUCCCUCUGUGAGCGGCCACUGGUGAGGGGGGCCCGCAGAGGCUCCCGCACCACAGGAGAGGGGCCUCACUCAGAGGCAGGAGCGCCCCCAUGGCUGGUGGGGGCCAUUCUGCCGCCGCAGGGGCAGGAAGGCGGUCGUGUGGGGAUUGAAUUAGAAAGCCCGUGAAGUGCCCAGCUGCCCUCCCUGCUGUGGUUGACUUUGUUGCUCGGAACCCCGGGGCCCCAGGAAACAGGCCACGAGGCCCUUAGAGGUGGUCAGCCCAGCCCCUGCUCUCAGCAGGGGGAGCAACUGAGGCCCAGGGCCGGGGGCUCAGAGCACAGGUCGCAGCCCCGGGGCUGUGGUCCCGCCCGGCCAGCAGAGCCCAGACUACAGGUCCUGAGGGAGUGGGUGGGGGCCAGGGGUCAGGGACAGCCUGCUGAGACCAGGGAAGGAGGGUCAGGGACUCAGCUGGGCUCCCCAGAGGCCGGAGGGAGGGACUAGACUCUCAGUUUUGCCUUCUUGGAGCUUGGACGCCUGGACCCCUCCGGCCCUGGUCAGCUCAGAGCUCCAGCCACCUGCCCCUGGGCCCCUAGGGGUGACAAGGCCGAGAGCGGGAGGACACCUGCGGGGACAGAAGGGCCAGACCCACAGGAGGGCAGCUGUCUGCAAGACCAGAACAGGGCUCUCCAGGAGCCAGACUGGCCAGGACCUGGAUCUGGGACGCCCAGCCUCCAGAACCGUGAGCAGUGAGCGUCUGCUGAGUAAGCCCUGUGUCUGGGCCACUUGGUCGGACGAGCAGGAGCAGAGACCUUGCUGUCCCCCCAACCCUGAGUGCAGCUCAUCUGCCUUGUGGGCAGGGAGGGGCCAGGGCAUGAGGUUCCCAGGGCAGAGGCCACCGGAGGCAUGACGGCAGGGGCCUCAUAGGCUUCAAGCCACCGAGACUCAAGUCCCUGAAUGUGGUCCCUGUCCCCCUCCCCGCUGCAGCCUCCGCCCGCUGGGGAACUCUGGGACCCCAGGGCCGGGCGGGCACAGAGCCGAGAGUACUUGGUGACUGAAGACUCGAGAGUGACAGGUGAGCUCUUCACUGGGACAGAAAACGUCACUGUGGGGCCGGCUGGCUGACCCUGCGUUAGCACGGCCCCCCACCCCCGCCCCCCGCAGUCCCCUCCAGGGCUGUGGCCAAGAGCACGGAGCUGGUACUGGGACACAUGCCUGCAGCCCACGCUCCCAGUGCGUCGGUCGUCGCGACAGCCAAGGGUGGGAGCAAGUGUCCAUCAAGUGGUAGGUGGACGGCUCUGUAAGUCAGGGCACGUCACCCACGCAGCGGGAUGAGGUCCGGCCGCCGGACGGAAGGAAGCACGGACACUCACUGCAGCCUGGACGGGCCUUGAAAACAAGGUGCUCAGUGAGAGAAGCCAGCUGCCGAAGGCCACGCCCCGUGUGGUUCCCUUUAUGUGAGACGUCAGGAAGCGGUGGGGGGUGGCCCGGAGACAGAAGGCAGGUUAGUGGUCGAGGGGGCUGGAGGGAGAUGGCGGUGCCUGCUCGUGGGCACGGGGUGUCUCUUGGGGCAAUGGGAGUGUUCUGGAACUCAGUGGUGAUGGACAUAACUGAAUAUGCGAGAAGCCACUUUAAGAGGAUGAACUUCGUGGUCUCUGA